This is a small nuclear RNA of Otolemur garnettii (small-eared galago), 165 nucleotides long. Its record names the gene U1. It matches the Rfam family "U1 spliceosomal RNA". From Rfam's summary of the family: U1 is a small nuclear RNA (snRNA) component of the spliceosome (involved in pre-mRNA splicing). Its 5' end forms complementary base pairs with the 5' splice junction, thus defining the 5' donor site of an intron. There are significant differences in sequence and secondary structure between metazoan and yeast U1 snRNAs, the latter being much longer (568 nucleotides as compared to 164 nucleotides in human). NCBI's taxonomy places the organism in Eukaryota, Metazoa, Chordata, Mammalia, Primates, Galagidae. The record is from Ensembl.
AUAUUUACCUGGCAGGGGAGAUACCAUGAUCACAAAGGUGGUUUUCUCAAGGCAAGGCUGAUCCCUUGAACUCUGGAUGUGCUGACCCCCGCAACUUCCCCAAGUAUAGAAAACUCGGCUGAGUAACUUGAGGUAGUCGGGGACUAUGUUUUUGCUUUUCCCUAA